GACGAACGCUGGCGGCGUGCUUAACACAUGCAAGUCGAACGGUAAGGCCCUUCGGGGUACACGAGUGGCGAACGGGUGAGUAACGCGUGAGUAACCUGCCCUUCACUCUGGGAUAACAGUUGGAAACGGCUGCUAAUACCGGAUAUUCAGCUCCUGUCGCAUGGUGGGGGUUGGAAAGUUUUGGUGGUGGAGGAUGGGCUCGCGUCCUAUCAGCUUGUUGGUGGGGUGAUGGCCUACCAAGGCGUCGACGGGUAGCCGGCCUGAGAGGGCGACCGGCCACAUUGGGACUGAGAUACGGCACAAACUCCUACGGGAGGCAGCAGUGGGGAAUAUUGCACAAUGGGCGGAAGCCUGAUGCAGAAACGCCGCGUGCGGGAUGACGGCCUUCGGGUUGUAAACCGCUUUCAGCAGGGACGAAGCGCAAGUGAAGGUAACUGAAGAAGAAGCACAGGCUAAAUACGUGC
Molecule: ribosomal RNA, 464 nt
Filed under: uncultured bacterium
Lineage: Bacteria
Description: partial 16S ribosomal RNA
Rfam family: Bacterial small subunit ribosomal RNA
Source: RNAcentral